Cricetulus griseus (Chinese hamster) is the source of this 104-nucleotide small nuclear RNA. NCBI's taxonomy places the organism in Eukaryota, Metazoa, Chordata, Mammalia, Rodentia, Cricetidae. The record is from Ensembl.
GUUUUCCCUUUGGCAGCACAUACACUAAAAUUGGAACAGUGCAGAAAUUAGCAUGGCUUCUGUGCAAGGAUGACAUGCACACUCACGCAGCACUCCAUAUUUUA